GACGAACGCUGGCGGCGUGCCUAAUACAUGCAAGUUGAGCGCUGAAGGUUGGUACUUGUACCAACUGGAUGAGCAGCGAACGGGUGAGUAACGCGUGGGGAAUCUGCCUUUGAGCGGGGGACAACAUUUGGAAACGAAUGCUAAUACCGCAUAAAACUUUAAACACAAGUUUUAAGUUUGAAAGAUGCAAUUGCAUCACUCAAAGAUGAUCCCGCGUUGUAUUAGCUAGUUGGUGAGGUAAAGGCUCACCAAGGCGAUGAUACAUAGCCGACCUGAGAGGGUGAUCGGCCACAUUGGGACUGAGACACGGCCCAAACUCCUACGGGAGGCAGCAGUAGGGAAUCUUCGGCAAUGGACGAAAGUCCGACCGAGCAACGCCGCGUGAGUGAAGAAGGUUUUCGGAUCGUAAAACUCUGUUGGUAGAGAAGAACGUUGGUGAGAGUGGAAAGCUCAUCAAGUGACGGUAACUACCCAGAAAGGGACGGCUAACUACGUG
This 496-nucleotide ribosomal RNA is filed under the name uncultured bacterium. RNAcentral's name for it is "partial 16S ribosomal RNA". It matches the Rfam family "Bacterial small subunit ribosomal RNA", at positions 28 to 507 of the family's 1533-position model. The record is from RNAcentral.